Molecule: non-coding RNA, 98 nt
Organism: Erwinia tasmaniensis
Lineage: Bacteria; Pseudomonadati; Pseudomonadota; Gammaproteobacteria; Enterobacterales; Erwiniaceae
Source: Rfam
ACUGGCUGGUGGCGCACUUCUCCCUGACGGGCGAAGCUGUCAUGCACGGUUAUCACGAUGUGCAGAUACUCAGGCCCGCAUAACGCGGGCUUUUUUUU